UUAUAAAAUUAUUACUUUAUUAAAAAUUUUUAAUUUCUAAAAAAAAUUAUUUUAAUGACUAAAGUUAAAUUCUUUUUUUAAAAAAUUUUUUUAAUUAUAAAAUUUUAAAAUAUUUUAUUUUAAAAAUUUUAAGAAAAAUUAAAUCUUUAUUCCUUUUGUAUCAGAAUAAUUCUAAAUAUUUAAUUUAAAAUUUAAAUCUCGAAAUAAAAAAAUUUAAAUAAAUACUUAAUUUAAAAUUUUAAUUUUAUUAAAAAUAUUUAUUUAGAAACUAUAUAUUAAUCAAUUUUUAUAAUAUCUAGUUAUUUAAUAAAAAAAUUCAAUUUUUAUAUAAUUUAUUAUUAAUAUCUUUAAUUAUUUUAAUAAUUAUUUUAUAUAUAAAAUUUAAGGGAUAAACUUUAAAUUUUAAUUUAAAAUAAACAUUAAUAAAAUAUCAAUUAUAUAAUUUAAAAUAUUUAAUAAUAAAAAAUAUUUAAUAAUUAAUAAAUAAAAAAUAAAAAUUUAAUUAAUAUUUAAUAAUUUAUUAAAUUUUUAUAAUAAAUAUAUAUUUAUAAAAAAUUAUAAAUUAAUUAGUAAAUAUAAUUAUAUAAAAAAUAAUUAUUUAAAAUCAAAAAUUAAUUAAUCAACUAAGCAAAAUAUAUAUUCACCUGUUUAACAAAAACAUGUCUUAAUGAAAUUUAAUAUUAAGUCCAAUCUGCCCACUGAUCAUAUUUUAAAGGCUGCAAUAUUACUAAUUGUACAAAGGUAGCAUAAUAAUUUGUUUUUUAAUUAAAAACUAGAAUGAACGAUUAAAUGAAAUAUAAACUCCAUCAAUUAAUAAAAUUUAAAUUUUUAUUUAAGUUAAAAAACUUAAAUAAAUAUAAAAGACGACAAGACCCUAUAGAAUUUUAUUUUAAAUAAUAUUAUUUUUAUUAUUAUAAUAUAAUUUAUUUAAAAUUUAAUUGGGGUAAUUUAAAAAUUAAAUAAAUUUUUUUAAAAAAUAACAUAAAUUAAUGAAUUAUAAAUCUUAAAAUUUAAAUUAAUAAAAUUAAUUACCUUAGGGAUAACAGCAUAAUUUUUUUUAAAAGAUCUCAUUAAUAAAAAAGAUUAUGACCUCGAUGUUGAAUUAAGAUAAAAUAUAAAUGAAAAAAUUUAUAAAUUUAAGUCUGUUCGACUUUUAAAAUCUUACAUGAUUUGAGUUAAGAUCGGCGUAAGCCAGAUCAGAUUCUAUCUUUAUAUAAUAUUUAUAUAAUUGUACGAAAGGAACUUAUAUAAAAAAUAAUUUUUAAAAUUUUUUAAAUAAUUAUAUUAA
Molecule: ribosomal RNA, 1288 nt
Filed under: Psyttalia concolor
Lineage: Eukaryota; Metazoa; Arthropoda; Insecta; Hymenoptera; Braconidae
Description: 16S ribosomal RNA
Source: RNAcentral